RNAcentral lists this long non-coding RNA (309 nucleotides) under Nicotiana tabacum (common tobacco). Its description in RNAcentral is "long non-coding RNA (NTAB_LNC000295)". Lineage: Eukaryota; Viridiplantae; Streptophyta; Magnoliopsida; Solanales; Solanaceae. The record is from RNAcentral.
ACCAGGGGAGGUAGGACUGUAUGCAGGAGAAGUGGGACUAUAUGAUGGAGAAGUUGGACUAUAACUUGGUGAGGUGGGGCUAUAUGAAGGCGAGGUGGGGCUGUAAGAAGGUGAGGUGGGGCUGUAUGAAGGUGAAGUGGGGCUGUAAGAUGGAGAAGUGGGGCUGUAAGAUGGAGAAGUGGGGCUGUAGGCAGGCGAAGUGGGGCUGUAGGCAGGCGAAGUGGGACUGUAGGCAGGCGAAGUGGGGCUGUAGCUAGGCGAUGUUGGGCUAUAACUAGGAGAUGUAGGGCUAUAGCUCGGAGAUGUUGG